CUGACACCCUUGUAGACUAAAUUCCUCUGUUUAUCCGUUAAAUAAAAUACAGAAAAGGCAGUGACAGUGCAAGCUUCCCCAUUCUACUCUACAAAGUGCCUCAACUCUGACCUAGAGAGAUCACCUAUAAGGCUGAGAGGUUAAUUCUGUCGCCAUCACACUGAAUCCUCGGUCUCU
This 177-nucleotide small RNA is filed under the name Chrysemys picta bellii (western painted turtle). Its description in RNAcentral is "TUC338 (ENSCPBG00000000478.1)". Lineage: Eukaryota; Metazoa; Chordata; Testudines; Emydidae. The record is from RNAcentral.